GCCUUCUAUAGAAAAAUCUACUCAACAGCGACAUAAUACUGAGCCAAUAUAUCACCUAAAUUAACAUGGAAAAUAUAUGCAUAAAACACCAAAAAAGGAAAUCUUUGAACUGAAGCAAACCGACAGAAGCCGUUGAGGAAGGAUUCGAGAUGUGAGGUGAAGAACCGACAGUGUUGCCAGUAAAGUUUUCACCUGCGCUUUCCGAUUUUAGUAUGAAUUUUUUAAUUUUUUUUU
Molecule: unclassified non-coding RNA, 234 nt
Filed under: Hevea brasiliensis (rubber tree)
Lineage: Eukaryota; Viridiplantae; Streptophyta; Magnoliopsida; Malpighiales; Euphorbiaceae
Source: RNAcentral